UCCUGGUUAACCCAGUUGGCAGAGCGCUCCACUGGAAAAGGGGCAGUCCCUGGUUCGAUACCAGGAGCGGGCG
Molecule: transfer RNA, 73 nt
Filed under: Ixodes scapularis (black-legged tick)
Lineage: Eukaryota; Metazoa; Arthropoda; Arachnida; Ixodida; Ixodidae
Description: tRNA-Ser for anticodon GGA
Source: RNAcentral